RNAcentral lists this ribosomal RNA (558 nucleotides) under uncultured Glomus. Its description in RNAcentral is "SSU rRNA". It matches the Rfam family "Eukaryotic small subunit ribosomal RNA", at positions 546 to 1106 of the family's 1831-position model. Lineage: Eukaryota; Fungi; Glomeromycota; Glomeromycetes; Glomerales; Glomeraceae. The record is from RNAcentral.
AAUUGGAGGGCAAGUCUGGUGCCAGCAGCCGCGGUAAUUCCAGCUCCAAUAGCGUAUAUUAAAGUUGUUGCAGUUAAAAAGCUCGUAGUUGAAUUUCGAGACCGGUUUAUUGGUCGUGCUUUUGUACGUACUGGUAUUAUUGGUUUCUCCUUUCUGACGAAUCUUAAUGCCAUUAAUUUGGUGUUUUGGGGAAUCAGGACUGUUACUUUGAAAAAAUUAGAGUGUUUAAAGCAGGCUCACGCUUGAAUACAUUAGCAUGGAAUAACGGAAUAGGACGUUUGAUUCUAUUUUGUUGGUUUCUAGGAUCGACGUAAUGAUUAAUAGGGAUAGUUGGGGGCAUUAGUAUUCAAUUGUCAGAGGUGAAAUUCUUGGAUUUAUUGAAGACUAACUACUGCGAAAGCAUUUGCCAAGGAUGUUUUCAUUAAUCAAGAACGAAAGUUAGGGGAUCGAAGACGAUCAGAUACCGUCGUAGUCUUAACCAUAAACUAUGCCGACUAGGGAUCGGAUGAUGUUAAUUUUUUAAUGACUCAUUCGGCGCCUUACGGGAAACCAAAGUGU